ACAGACAGGUUCAGAUAGGGAUGGGUAGGGCCAGAGAUAUUUAUUGAUUGAUUGAUUUCUACAUUUUAUACCACUUUUCUGCCUUGACAAAGGCACCUGAAGCGGUUUACAAUAUCAAAAGUGACAAAUAACAGAUUAAUAAAAUGUUGUCUCAGGCUGUUGGUCUUUUCGGGAGCUGAGGACAAUCGCUCCCUGGCCUGGGUGCUUCCUUUCUUGAUAGAAUCUCUAGUCAGUGGUGCUCUUACCCCCCAGGACCUCCAAGGGUCGGGGGGGGUCCUUCAUCCACCCCACAUCUGCCCCACCACUGCCCUGCCACGUUGUACCUCUGUGGGGUUGUUGUUGAUUUUUGCUUAAUUUAAGCCAACAUGUGCAUGGCUGAGAGGUAGGCUUGGGGGUGAUCCAAGCAGGCCUCGCCUUCCCCCCGUGGCACUGCUGGAGGCCAGAGCAACCACUGGGCCUGUGCUUUUUGUCCAGUGGUUCUUGAUCACUGUGAGGCACUCCAGCAUGCCUGCAAAAAUGAAAUAGAUCAUAGCAAGCACAUGAGGUCACAGGCUUGCGACAAUCUAUUUCAGCUGCCCAGGCACGCCUCGCAGUUAUCAAGAGCCACUGGGCUGAAUGGACAGGCCCAGUGGUUGGUCCAGCCGCUGGCACUGGGGUGUGGGGAGGUGAGCCCUGCUUAGUUCAACCCCCAGCCUGCCCGCCCCAGAUACCACCUCUUGGCCACACACAUGCUGGCUUAAAUUAAGCAGGGGAAAAAAUAGAGGUACAGCACGGCAGGGCAGCAGUGGGGCAGCAUGGAGUGGCUGAAGGAGGCACCCCAAAAGCAGGUUUGGGGGGGCAUUAUGGGGGUUGGUCUCAUGGUGGGGGCAGUCCGGGUGCCCCAAUUACCUAAGAGUGCCCCUGUCUCUGGUUAAAGCAGGACUGAAGGUGGAAUUGGGAGGUUGGUGGGUAGGUUUCACACACCAGGCAUGACCUCUGUAGAGCAAACUUGACUAUCAAAUGUAAAUGCUGGGAGGGUUUGGUUUAUUACACAGGUUAUACAGUCAGGGAGGUUAUAUCCCUGUAAAAAUGUUGGAAGUCUAAAGAAGCUUGCUGUUUCUAAACAGCAACCUCAAUAACUUGAAAGUAAAGCCUUUUUUGAUGUACUGACACAAUCUUAUAUAUACCUGAUUCUGAAUACCAGUUUUAAGUAUAAGAGGUGGUGUUCAAGCUUGCUAGUGCUAAGGUUGUUAUUCUGUCUCAGUAACUAUUAUUCAUUUGACACUACAUUGUAGUGAAUAAGAAACCACUGAAGCUAUUGUACAAGAAUAAAGUUAUUUUCUUUGGUAUAGUUAGAUAGAUAGAUAGAUAUCUUUAUUUUAGUCAUUGCCCAGCAAUAAUAAACAGACAACUGCAAACAAUAAUCAGAUGAUACAUGAUAUAAACAUUUGGAAACUGCUGCACCAGUCUACAACCAAGUAUGGGCCUGAAAGAUUGAUGAAUCAACUAUACUUGUGAUGUAUCUGCCCGAGUCAGUGCCAAGAAGUGAAAUAAAAAACACCAACAAUUUUUUCUUCAAAUAAGACAUUUUCUUCUCUGCACUGCCCUUAUACAGCAUUACCUGUAUCCCAAAUAUUGAAACUGAACUGAAGUUGAACUUACUUUAGUUGGGCCAUUUCCAUGAAGAGUGACUGGCAGAGUGUCAUACACUGAAUUCCUAGCUCUGGCUCUUCCUUCAUCAAAUUUCAGAAUAACUUCAUCUGCAGUUCAACAGAAAUAACAAUACAUCAGCAAGAGUGUCAAAACAUUCUUUGCAUUUGAUGGAACAAUUAUGUCCUAUUCACUUCUAUGCUGAUCCUGUCACUUUACAAUCUUCAAGCUGCUCAUUCCAGAGUUCAUUUGGGACAUGUUAGAAUAAACAGUCAGUACCACAACCUUUU
Molecule: long non-coding RNA, 1919 nt
Organism: Hemicordylus capensis (graceful crag lizard)
Lineage: Eukaryota; Metazoa; Chordata; Lepidosauria; Squamata; Cordylidae
Exons: 3
Source: RefSeq, a predicted model, not a curated record